Molecule: ribosomal RNA, 423 nt
Filed under: uncultured bacterium
Lineage: Bacteria
Description: bacterial SSU rRNA
Rfam family: Bacterial small subunit ribosomal RNA
Source: RNAcentral
UGAGGAAUAUUGGUCAAUGGGCGGAAGCCUGAACCAGCCAUCCCGCGUGAAGGAAGAAGGCCUUAUGGGUUGUAAACUUCUUUUCUGUUUGAAGAAUAAGCUUGUCGUGACAAGUGAUGCCGGUAGGACAGGAAUAAGCAUCGGCUAACUCCGUGCCAGCAGCCGCGGUAAUACGGAGGAUGCAAGCGUUAUCCGGAUUUAUUGGGUUUAAAGGGUGCGCAGGUGGUUUAAUAAGUCAGUGGUGAAAGUCUGCCGCUUAACGGUAGGAUUGCCAUUGAUACUGUUGGACUUGAAUAUGGAUGAGGUAGGCGGAAUGUGUAGUGUAGCGGUGAAAUGCUUAGAUAUUACACAGAACACCGAUUGCGAAGGCAGCUUACUAAUCCAUGAUUGACGCUGAGGCACGAAAGCGUGGGGAUCAAACAG